UACGGAAGGCAGCAGGGGGAAUAUUGCACAAUGGGCGCAAGCCUGAUGCAGCCAUGCCGCGUGUAUGAAGAAGGCCUUCGGGUUGUAAAGUACUUUCAGUCGUGAGGAAGGUGUUAAGGUUAAUAACCUUAGCAAUUGACGUUAGCGACAGAAGAAGCACCGGCUAACUCCGUGCCAGCAGCCGCGGUAAUACGGAGGGUGCGAGCGUUAAUCGGAAUUACUGGGCGUAAAGGGCACGCAGGCGGUUAAUUAAGUUGGAUGUGAAAUCCCCGGGCUUAACCUGGGAAUGGCAUUCAAGACUGGUUAGCUAGAGUCUUGUAGAGGGGGUAGAAUUCCAUGUGUAGCGGUGAAAUGCGUAGAGAUGUGGAGGAAUACCGGUGGCGAAGGCGGCCCCUGGACAAAGACUGACGCUCAUGUGCGAAAGCGUGGGGAGCAAACGAGGAUUAGAUACC
RNAcentral lists this ribosomal RNA (452 nucleotides) under uncultured bacterium. Its description in RNAcentral is "bacterial SSU rRNA". It matches the Rfam family "Bacterial small subunit ribosomal RNA", at positions 340 to 786 of the family's 1533-position model. The record is from RNAcentral.